AUGGUAACCAAGGCCUCCUCAACGGUGGUGGUUCACGCCGGCGUGCACCUGUUCAAGGUCGUCGGCCACUCCACCAUCACGGGCAAGAUUAAGCUCACUUCCGACACUUUCCGCGUUGCUGAUCACGACUGGGCUAUCCUGUACUACCCGAACGGCAACCCUAGCGUUGUCGACGACCAGUUCAGUUCGAUUUUCCUUAAGCUGAUGAACGCCGGCGAGGAUAAGGUCACGGCCUACUAUUCCUUCUGCCUUCAGGACCCCGCGGCGCCGGCGACAGGGGAGAAGCACAAAAUCAGUUUGCACACCCCGAAGUUCUCGUCCACUUCGUUGGUCAGGGGUACCGACAAGUUCGUGAGUAAAGCCGACUUGGCCGCGUCCGGGUGCCUCAAGGAUGACUAUCUCGUGAUCAAGUGCACCGUCGAGGUCCCAAUACUGAUGGACGACCGACUGGAGGGCGACGAUAACGACAGCGUCAUCGUGCCACCCGCAGACCUAAGCAAAGAUCUAGCUAAUCUUCUAGACAGCGGCCUCAAGGCGGACUUGACCAUCAAGAUCGGCUGGUUCAAGAGAUUCAAGGUGCACGCGUGCGUACUCGCUGCGCGAUCGCCCGUCUUCCGAGCCAAGCUGUGCGGCACCAUGAUGGAGAGCAGAGGAAGCAGCAUCCUCAUCAAGGACAUAAAUGCAAAGGUUUUCGAGAUUGUGCUGCAUUACAUGUACAAUGAUCGUCUGCCAGAGUCUAUGGAUGAGGCGACGGAAGAGACCACAAACAUGGUGCAGCAUCUGCUCGUCGCGGCUGAUCGUUACGCAAUGGAAAGACUAAAGCUGAUAUGCGAGAUGAGGUUGAGCAAGGCGCUGGAUAUCAACACGGUGGGUUUCACCUUGGAUCUUGCAGAGCAAUACCAUUGUCAGCAGCUCAAGGGUUGCUGUCUCAGGUAUAUGACAAGAAACGGCAAGAGAUUACAAGAAAUCAUAAACACCGAGGGGUUUGCUGAACUAAAGCGAAACCAACCACAGGUCGCAUUCGAUAUUCUUGGACAAGUUAUUGCCUUAAUUACUGGCAACUUAGUCAUGUCAUAUUGA
RNAcentral lists this ribosomal RNA (1080 nucleotides) under Triticum aestivum (bread wheat). RNAcentral's name for it is "partial small subunit ribosomal RNA". The record is from RNAcentral. Lineage: Eukaryota; Viridiplantae; Streptophyta; Magnoliopsida; Poales; Poaceae.